CAACAGGAAGAUGACUUGCUCGUGAACUUGUGGGAUGCCUGCCACAGCAUGGCUUGCCAAGCGGUGUGUAGGUCCAAACUGGCGAACCUGGAGCCGCGAAAGCAGAGCAUGUGAACUUAACCAUUACGCCGCCAGGUCAGCCCCUGGAGAAGAGAGUUUUGAGAAAACCAGAGAUGUAGCUUUAUUACUGGGUUAAUGAUAGCAGCAAUGCCAGGACUGCUGAGGACUCCUGUGUGCCAGGAGGGCGCAGAGCAUUGCCCCUGCCCAUCCUGGUUUAAUCCUCACCUGAAUCCUAGGGGCAGGGACAUUUCUGUCAUGCCGUUCACAGACGAGGAAACGGGCUCAGAGGACACGAAGGGCUUUCUCCAGUCUCAACGCUAAAAUGGCAGGCCUGGGGAUUUGAAGCCUGUCUCUGGGUGAGAUCUGAGCCUUGCCUAUAGCACGAGGAUGGAAGAAAAAGUGGAGCUUUUCUUCCCACUUACUGGAGACGCUUUUGAGGUUGGAUUUUUGCCUUGGAUUUGGCCUUGACCCUCAGUAUGUAAAUCCGCAGAGGAAAGACUGGGCCUUCCUGACACUCCUGCUCUCUCAGGAUUUCCUUCUCAGGAUCGGAGCCCACAGGUCAGACGAGGACUUGAACUCUCAUCUACUGCUCUAGCUGCCAUAUCUUUUCCAACUGUUUCCCUUUCCUUUCGCCUAGUUGGUUAUUUACAGAAAUAACACAGCAUAGGAGAGGCUAAGAAUGAAGGAGAGCGAGCAAAUAAGAAUGAAUGCAAGAGAGAAUGAAAAGGGACAAACGAGAGUGAAGAAGAGACGAUUAAGGGAAGAGAGAGAGGGUGAAAGGAAAAGAAAAAGAGAACAAGAAAGAUCAGGCUGUGAAGUCACCCAGACGUGGUUUGAAUCGUUGCUUUUACUGGCUGUACCAUUUUGAGUAAAGCUCUCUAAUUCAGUUCCGCAUCGUAGAACAAGGGUGGUCCUGUUUAGAGGAUUGUCCUGAGGAUCAAAUAGAAUAUUGUCUAUGCCUUUCCUGCCACCCAAUGAGCGCUUAAUAAACCUCCCUCCUUCCUUCCUCCGCUCUCCUUCCUUCUUUCCUUCCUUCCUGCUUUCCUUCCUUUCUUCCUUCCUUCUUUCCUUCCUUUCUUCCUUCCCUCCUUCCCUUCCCCCUUUCUCCCCGACUCCCCUCAUCAAGGACCACCUAAACCCCUGGCACAAUUCAAGACAUCUCUACAAAUGUUGCCAGUUUAGUCCUUGAAACAACUCAUGAAUUACAUGGCAUUAUAUUCUCAUUUUACGAUGAGGCCUAGAGAGAGACAUUAUAAGCUAGGAUCAUCCAGCAGCUGACUGUCCCACCAGAAUUCCAAUGCAGAUCUGUCUUUCUCCACUCCUAACAAAAGGAAAACUAAGGUGGCCAUCUCAACUGAUGGGCGUUUAGAGUUUUCUUCUUUAGCUGCUCCACCGGAGGGCUGUUGAGAAAAUUACCCAAAUCAUGUUAAUGAGCAGUUGAGUGCCGGAGUUUCUCUGAGGCAAGGCGGUGAACAAAAUCUCUGGUUGGCAACCGUUAGCUGUGAUCAUUAUCUCAGCUGAUACCACCAAGGGGCUCUCGGCUCAAAUAAUUAACUCAACUGCCUCCUCUCAGGGGUGAAGUGGGGCUAAUAAAACUUAACCACCUAGCUUGUGGGAAAAUGAUUCUGUGCUCAGUGAGGAAGUGCUUUCAAGACCAUCUGGCGCCGAGUGGUGGAGUGGUGCUGUCGUAGAAGCUGCGAUGGUGUGUUAAUUCUCUCUCCCUCUUUCUACCCUCGUGAAACUGAGAUCCUUGAGGGUAGGACCUACGUCUGCCUUAUGUAUCCUGAACCUACCCGAGAUGAGAGAGACGGAGGAACGCCACAUCACUCAAGAAAUGAGUUCAGCUGGUCUCCCAGAGCAGAAGUGGAAAAGGCUGUGUGGUGGGGCAGAAGGGAGUGAGUUCACCACGGGAGACAAGACUCGGAGUUCAAGUCUCUGGUUGGCUCAUGAGCUGGAUUAGGGGAUUAUGCACUCUUAACUUCGUAAUUGCAUGGGUGAAGGUCACGAAUCCUGGCACAGUUCUCAAUGGGGUCUGAGGCAGAUUGCAUCAAGUCCCUGGUGGGUGCAGAGUGGCAUGGCAGGUAAAUUUGUAUGUGCAUACAAGUUGGCAAGCGUUUUCAACAGUUUGUUUCCUAUCUCCAUUUCAUAGGAACUGAGACUGAGGCUCAGACAUUAAAUCGCUUUUCCAAGGCCUCAAAAUUAGCAGAAGAAAUAACAUUUAAACUCAGAUAUCUAAUCCCAUAUCUAUCCACUCAUUCACAAGGGCUAAAAGUUGAAGUGUGUACUGUGGAAGCACAGAGAAAGCAGUAAUUAAUUCCAGUUAAGGGGGGGAGGCUUCAUACAGGAGGCAGCCCGUGGGCUGAGCCUUGCGGUAUGAGGAGACUUUCCCCAGGGGGGAGCAGAGGAGGGCGCCCCUGCAGGGGACGAGCAGCAAGGCUGGCACACAGAAGGCCUGCAGGGUCUCAGGGAGAAAGCGCAGCGUGGCCAUCUGUCACGGGGCUGGUGAUGUCCUGGCCCUUUUCUACGGAGAAAGUAAAAGUUUGCACUCACUCAUCAUGAUUUUAAUCAGCAAGGAUGCAGCCCCUGGAGCUGACCGUGUGCUGCUACAGCCGAGGUCGCGGUUCAUCGCAGCAACAUGUGCCGUCGUUUUGCAGACGAGGAAACAGGACUCAGCCAGCUGAAGAAAUUUGCCUAUUGUCACUCAGGAAUGGUAGAGCCAGAAAUUGGCUUCCAAAUUUCAAGACCCAUGCUGCCCUUUCUACUAGACUGUCUUUAAACCAUCGCUGUGAGUACCUGUAGCCAGGCAGACUUUGGCCCUAGAGUUCUGGGCUGAAUCUGCUAGCUCACCUUCAGGUCAGGACGCCCUCUCUCACAGAGUGUGUCUGCCCAAUGAUGGUGAAUUCUAGAGUCUUCACUGGAGGUGGACAGGAGUGGGCCAGGGAGCUGACAUGGUCUCAUCCAUUUGUCCUUGCUGGAAGGGAGUUGAAGAGCUCCUUUCUUCCCUUUUCCUCCCCGAACCAAAUAAAUAGCACUCUCCCUCCCUCUGAGAAGCGUUCAUAGAUUCCUGUAAGGUAGAGAGGUGAGAGCCACUUAGGGGCAGGCAAUUGCCUUGGGAAGAUUCUGUGUAGCUCGUGUAUUUACAGUCACGCUAUGUGACCACUGGAAUCACUUCUCUGAACCUCAAUUUCCUUAUCUAUAAAACCAGCAGGGGGAGGGGUGGGAUAAUGCCUCCAGGAAAGUAAUAUAGCCAGAGGGCAAGAGCAUGGGCUCUGAAGAUGGAUUACCAGUGUCCAAAUCUUGCUUCUGCUGGCUCUGAGACCUUGGCCAGUUUACUUAACCUCAUUGUGCCUCAGUUUCCUUUAUUGUAAAAGGGGGAUGAAAAUGAUAUUACUUACACACUGGGGCUGCUGUGAGGAUUACAUAAUUAAUACAUAUAAAGCACUUAGUACAGGCUUUUAAAGGGCUGCUCUCAGGAUUCAAUAAAAACAAUUACUAGCAUUUGCGUCAUGAUACC
RNAcentral lists this long non-coding RNA (3574 nucleotides) under Equus asinus (donkey). RNAcentral's name for it is "lncRNA (ENSEASG00005033694.1)". Lineage: Eukaryota; Metazoa; Chordata; Mammalia; Perissodactyla; Equidae. The record is from RNAcentral.